Molecule: long non-coding RNA, 872 nt
Filed under: Apteryx owenii (little spotted kiwi)
Lineage: Eukaryota; Metazoa; Chordata; Aves; Apterygiformes; Apterygidae
Description: lncRNA (ENSAOWG00000010167.1)
Source: RNAcentral
GCAAAAACCGGAUUCAGGCUGGUUUUGGUGUUGCGCUGCCUUUUAGGAAGGAGUUUGUCAGCCUCGAGAGAAUAAGAGAGCAGGUCCUGCACCCCUCCGAAAAUGGCACGUGGAAGUGGUUUCGAAAGCGCCGCCUUUGGUCUCCUUUCUGCAGGAUCCCUGCUCCCCACAAAUCAUACUGUGGAUCCAAAGCGGGCUCCUUAAUACUUGCGUGAAACGAGGGCGAAGACUAGACCCGUUGUCCCCAUGUUGGGAAAGAGCACCUUUCCCUUCCCCAGCAGGGUUGCCCGGUGCAGCUAGCGUCGUGUGGCCACCAGCUACCCAUGAAUCACAGCUGAAAAACUGCUUUGCCUGAGCCGUAAUAAUCUGAGACAGCAAAGGGAGAAGUGAUUCCAAUCAUGAUGCAGGCUGCCUCACGGUAGAACAUGAGCAGGUAAUGCACAAGGAGCACCACUGGGAAUCAUGUCAGACGAGUCAAUCUCAGGGAGUGAUCCGGACCUGGACCCGGACUUGGAGCAGGAGGAUAUGGAAGAGGAGGAGGAGGAAGAUGAGGAGGAGGCGAUGGAGGAGGACAACGAUGGGGAUGACGAGGAAGACUUACUUGAUGAGAAUGGGUCUGUGAAGGCAUCUUGGAAGAGCCGGGAGCUGCAGCCUCUUCAAGGAGAGGAUGUUCCUCCAUGUGCUUCCCACCCCAAGCUUGUCUUGGCUCUUCUCCUACCUGACAAAGUGCUGGAACAAAACAAAACUGCGCGUGUGGGAGUCCCCAGAUGAGCAUGUGCGGUUGGGAAUAGAGCAAAUUUCUGUCCUUACAGGGGAACAGAGGAAUGUCUUUGGGACAAAUCUGUUCAGUUAGCAGGAUCCUCUGCUUGUUU